Long non-coding RNA from Xenia sp. Carnegie-2017, 119 nucleotides. RefSeq lists it as uncharacterized. The record is from RefSeq and is a predicted model, not a curated record. The transcript is spliced from 3 exons. NCBI's taxonomy places the organism in Eukaryota, Metazoa, Cnidaria, Anthozoa, Malacalcyonacea, Xeniidae.
UUUUGCUUUUUCGUACUCUCCCAUAUGACAGUAGACCAAACCCAGAUUUUUGUACGUUGUCGCUAUACUAACAUGGUCAGGUCCAAAUGCUUUCGUUUGAAUUUCUAUCGCUCGCUCAU